GGAGACGUUCGGGGACGUGGCAACUGGAGUUUCUUCUCCGUAUAUUUCGGCAUUCAGUUCCUUUUUUUUUUUGUUUUAACUCAGGAAAAAAUCUCAAUUGCGUUUAGUAUUUUGAAAGCCACUUUAUUGCUUCCCGAGCCUCAGUCAUGUGUGGUGGGAGGCUGCUGUGGGUGGCACCUGGGGCGUCCACGGCCGCCAAGGCGGGAGGACGUCAGGCCCUGCUUGCUCCCACCCCUUCCAGGUGAGAGCUCCCGGGCACGCCCGUCGUUGGCUCUUCGUCCUCUUGGUGUUCUUCCCUGUUGCUUCAAAUCAGGUUCCUGUCUCAAAAAUCCGAAAAAGAAAUCCUCCCAAAUGACUCUGUGCCCGACGCUCCGUUAAGGCAUCGUGCUAGGCGUUCUCAAACUCGUGAAAUGACUACACUGCACAGGUUAACCUCAUUGCUACUCUUCCCCUUGCCUCCUAAUUCUCUGGUUAAACUUCCGCCCCCGAGGUUUCUAGAAAUCCCUGAGCUGGAAUGCGCUGCCUUCAUUAAGAGGGUGUUCUGCUUCCGUCUGCUCACAUUCAUCUAGUAAGCCCUCUCGUUAAAGAGGAGGCAGCACACCGAGGCCUGUCUAGAACUUCUUUCAUUUAACCAACAGUGAAUAUCUAAUCUACAAGAAACUGGAGCCGUGGCAGUUUAGGAGCCUGCCAAGGUUGCAUCCCUGGGAGCUUAUUUUCUAUUGUGGGAGACAGGAAAAGAACAAGUGAAUCAACUGUGAAAUUAAAUAAUUCAAACUUAAAGCUGUUGGAACUUUAAAUUAUUCUGAGCCUUGCGAAGAAUGUGGCGAUGGGGCCUGAGUCCCAUGGCAUACAGCUGCAAUGUCUGCCUUGUUUUUUCCUAUAAUCAGGAAGACCAAACAGAGACAGAGUUCUGGUUAAAUCACACAAGUCCCUGGCAUGAGACCAAGAAGUCACAGAGCCCAGGUCUUAGCCCUCAGAGUGUGAGAGAAGACAUGAAGGCAUCAGGGACACUGUGCGAGUGGGCACUGCUGCUUUCCACUGCUCUCCCUAGACUGCAGCCAGGAGGCUGCCUCUGCCCUGCCAGGUCAGAUUCCCCCAAGAGGCCCUCCCAUAGCACCCUGGGCAUAUGGCCGUUUUGUACUUAGCACUCCGAACUGUGUUGACUGGUUUCUCUCUCUCUCCCUCACUAAUCUGUGAGCAUUUUUGUAACCUCCAUGCUCCGUACAAUGCCUGGAGCAUAGAUUUCUCAAGAAAUCUUUGUUGAACCUUUUCUUCCUCCAUAUUAAACCAGACCUUGCAUCACAGGCA
Long non-coding RNA from Homo sapiens (human), 1308 nucleotides. Ensembl annotates it as SMC5 divergent transcript. Its record names the gene SMC5-DT. NCBI's taxonomy places the organism in Eukaryota, Metazoa, Chordata, Mammalia, Primates, Hominidae. The record is from Ensembl.